UGAGGCGUGAUGACGAGGCACUACGGUGCUGAAGCAACAAAUGCCCUGCUUCCAGGAAAAGCCUCUAAGCAUCAGGUAACAUCAAAUCGUACCCCAAACCGACACAGGUGGUCAGGUAGAGAAUACCAAGGCGCUUGAGAGAACUCGGGUGAAGGAACUAGGCAAAAUGGUGCCGUAACUUCGGGAGAAGGCACGCUGAUAUGUAGGUGAAGUCCCUCGCGGAUGGAGCUGAAAUCAGUCGAAGAUACCAGCUGGCUGCAACUGUUUAUUAAAAACACAGCACUGUGCAAACACGAAAGUGGACGUAUACGGUGUGACGCCUGCCCGGUGCCGGAAGGUUAAUUGAUGGGGUCAGCGCAAGCGAAGCUCUUGAUCGAAGCCCCGGUAAACGGCGGCCGUAACUAUAACGGUCCUAAGGUAGCGAAAUUCCUUGUCGGGUAAGUUCCGACCUGCACGAAUGGCGUAAUGAUGGCCAGGCUGUCUCCACCCGAGACUCAGUGAAAUUGAACUCGCUGUGAAGAUGCAGUGUACCCGCGGCAAGACGGAAAGACCCCGUGAACCUUUACUAUAGCUUGACACUGAACAUUGAGCCUUGAUGUGUAGGAUAGGUGGGAGGCUUUGAAGUGUGGACGCCAGUCUGCAUGGAGCCGACCUUGAAAUACCACCCUUUAAUGUUUGAUGUUCUAACGUUGACCCGUAAUCCGGGUUGCGGACAGUGUCUGGUGGGUAGUUUGACUGGGGCGGUCUCCUCCUAAAGAGUAACGGAGGAGCACGAAGGUUGGCUAAUCCUGGUCGGACAUCAGGAGGUUAGUGCAAUGGCAUAAGCCAGCUUGACUGCGAGCGUGACGGCGCGAGCAGGUGCGAAAGCAGGUCAUAGUGAUCCGGUGGUUCUGAAUGGAAGGGCCAUCGCUCAACGGAUAAAAGGUACUCCGGGGAUAACAGGCUGAUACCGCCCAAGAGUUCAUAUCGACGGCGGUGUUUGGCACCUCGAUGUCGGCUCAUCACAUCCUGGGGCUGAAGUAGGUCCCAAGGGUAUGGCUGUUCGCCAUUUAAAGUGGUACGCGAGCUGGGUUUAGAACGUCGUGAGACAGUUCGGUCCCUAUCUGCCGUGGGCGCUGGAGAACUGAGGGGGGCUGCUCCUAGUACGAGAGGACCGGAGUGGACGCAUCACUGGUGUUCGGGUUGUCAUGCCAAUGGCACUGCCCGGUAGCUAAAUGCGGAAGAGAUAAGUGCUGAAAGCAUCUAAGCACGAAACUUGCCCCGAGAUGAGUUCUCCCUGACUCCUUGAGAGUCCUGAAGGAACGUUGAAG
RNAcentral lists this ribosomal RNA (1310 nucleotides) under Escherichia coli. RNAcentral describes it as "partial 23S ribosomal RNA". It matches the Rfam family "Bacterial large subunit ribosomal RNA", at positions 1557 to 2843 of the family's 2925-position model. The record is from RNAcentral. Lineage: Bacteria; Pseudomonadati; Pseudomonadota; Gammaproteobacteria; Enterobacterales; Enterobacteriaceae.